ACUGUUGCCUCGGCGGGGUCACGCCCCGGGUGCGUAAAAGCCCCGGAACCAGGCGCCCGCCGGAGGAACCAACCAAACUCUUUCUGUAGUCCCCUCGCGGACGUAUUUCUUACAGCUCUGAGCAAAAAUUCAAAAUGAAUCAAAACUUUCAACAACGGAUCUCUUGGUUCUGGCAUCGAUGAAGAACGCAGCGAAAUGCGAUAAGUAAUGUGAAUUGCAGAAUUCAGUGAAUCAUCGAAUCUUUGAACGCACAUUGCGCCCGCCAGUAUUCUGGCGGGCAUGCCUGUCCGAGCGUCAUUUCAACCCUCGAACCCCUCCGGGGGGUCGGCGUUGGGGAUCGGGACCCCUCACCGGGUGCCGGCCCUGAAAUACAGUGGCGGUCUCGCCGCAGCCUCUCCUGCGCAGUAGUUUGCACAACUCGCACCGGGAGCGCGGCGCGUCCACGUCCGUAAAACACCCAACUUCUGAAAUGUUGACCUCGGAUCAGGUAGGAAUACCCGCUGAACUUAAGCAUAUCAAUAAGCGGAGGGAAAA
RNAcentral lists this ribosomal RNA (534 nucleotides) under Trichoderma hamatum. RNAcentral's name for it is "eukaryotic LSU rRNA". The stretch from base 144 to 297 matches the Rfam family "5.8S ribosomal RNA". The record is from RNAcentral. Lineage: Eukaryota; Fungi; Ascomycota; Sordariomycetes; Hypocreales; Hypocreaceae.